RNAcentral lists this ribosomal RNA (483 nucleotides) under uncultured bacterium. Its description in RNAcentral is "partial 16S ribosomal RNA". It matches the Rfam family "Bacterial small subunit ribosomal RNA", at positions 30 to 507 of the family's 1533-position model. The record is from RNAcentral.
AUUGAACGCUGGCGGCAGGCCUAACACAUGCAAGUCGAGCGGAUGAAGGGAGCUUGCUCCUGGAUUCAGCGGCGGACGGGUGAGUAAUGCCUAGGAAUCUGCCUGGUAGUGGGGGAUAACGUCCGGAAACGGGCGCUAAUACCGCAUACGUCCUGAGGGAGAAAGUGGGGGAUCUUCGGACCUCACGCUAUCAGAUGAGCCUAGGUCGGAUUAGCUAGUUGGUGGGGUAAAGGCCUACCAAGGCGACGAUCCGUAACUGGUCUGAGAGGAUGAUCAGUCACACUGGACUGAGACACGGUCCAGACUCCUACGGGAGGCAGCAGUGGGGAAUAUUGGACAAUGGGCGAAAGCCUGAUCCAGCCAUGCCGCGUGUGUGAAGAAGGUCUUCGGAUUGUAAAGCACUUUAAGUUGGGAGGAAGGGCAGUAAGUUAAUACCUUGCUGUUUUGACGUUACCAACAGAAUAAGCACCGGCUAACUUCGUG